AACGACUCUCGGCAACGGAUAUCUCGGCUCUCGCAUCGAUGAAGAACGUAGCGAAAUGCGAUACUUGGUGUGAAUUGCAGGAUCCCGCGAACCACCGAGUCUUCCUGGGCGUC
RNAcentral lists this ribosomal RNA (113 nucleotides) under Bryonia alba. RNAcentral describes it as "5.8S ribosomal RNA". It matches the Rfam family "5.8S ribosomal RNA", at positions 1 to 110 of the family's 154-position model. Rfam says of the family: 5.8S ribosomal RNA (5.8S rRNA) is a component of the large subunit of the eukaryotic ribosome. RNAcentral also lists the same sequence under 1 other name. Lineage: Eukaryota; Viridiplantae; Streptophyta; Magnoliopsida; Cucurbitales; Cucurbitaceae. The record is from RNAcentral.